Molecule: long non-coding RNA, 380 nt
Filed under: Manihot esculenta (cassava)
Lineage: Eukaryota; Viridiplantae; Streptophyta; Magnoliopsida; Malpighiales; Euphorbiaceae
Description: long non-coding RNA (MESC_LNC007643)
Source: RNAcentral
AACGACGCGUCGUUUAGCUCCCACAGUUUCACGCUAGUAACUUCUUCUCCAUGAUCGUCUCCUAUUAGACAGAUCAAAAUCAGCCGGUCGUCGGCGAAUCCGAUGGCGGAGCUGUAUACAUUUCUUUGAGGACGUAGACUGUAAGGUCCGUACCAUGACUUGGUUUCUGGAUUGAACCAGUAAGUUACUCCAGUACUUUUUUCUACAACGUACAUCUUGUUACUUCUCACAGCAACAGAGAGCCACAUAGAGGCUGCAGAAUCCUUGAAAUGCGCGGGUAAAGACUCGCACGUGUCCCACGUGCGAGUCUUUAGGUCGUACAUUUCUACGGCCAGAGGAUCAUCUUCAAAAUCACAAGCUCCGCCGGCGACAAUUACGCG